Molecule: ribosomal RNA, 253 nt
Filed under: uncultured bacterium
Lineage: Bacteria
Description: partial 16S ribosomal RNA
Rfam family: Bacterial small subunit ribosomal RNA
Source: RNAcentral
UACGGAGGGAGCUAGCGUUGUUCGGAUAUACUGGGCGUAAAGCGCACGUAGGCGGCGCCGUAAGUCAGGGGUGAAAUCCCGGAGCUCAACUCCGGAACUGCCCUUGAAACUGCAGUGCUAGAAUUCUGGAGAGGCGAGUGGAAUUCCGAGUGUAGAGGUGAAAUUCGUAGAUAUUCGGAAGAACACCAGUGGCGAAGGCGGCUCUCUGGACCGAGACUGACGCUGAGGCGCGAAAGCGUGGGGAGCAAACAGG